Molecule: ribosomal RNA, 253 nt
Filed under: uncultured bacterium
Lineage: Bacteria
Description: partial 16S ribosomal RNA
Rfam family: Bacterial small subunit ribosomal RNA
Source: RNAcentral
UACGUAGGGAGCGAGCGUUGUCCGGAUUUAUUGGGCGUAAAGAGCGUGUAGGCGGCCACACAGGUCAGCUGUGAAAACUCGAGGCUCAACCUCGAGACGUCGGUUGAAACCGUAUGGCUAGAGUCCGGAAGAGGAGAGUGGAAUUCCCGGUGUAGCGGUGAAAUGCGCAGAUAUCGGGAAGAACACCCGUGGCGAAGGCGGCUCUCUGGGACGGUACUGACGCUGAGACGCGAAAGCGUGGGGAGCGAACAGG